Long non-coding RNA from Salvelinus sp. IW2-2015, 1497 nucleotides. RefSeq lists it as uncharacterized. Lineage: Eukaryota; Metazoa; Chordata; Actinopteri; Salmoniformes; Salmonidae. The record is from RefSeq and is a predicted model, not a curated record.
AGAGGCGUGCAUUAGCCCCAUAAUGAUUGGCUUGUCGUGCUAUCACGGCUUUCCCCGGGCUGCGUUCAGUACGUUUUGACGUUCAAUUGAACAGAAACGGUGCUGUACUGAACAACCAGUUGAAAAACGGAGAUGGGUUGGUUGUGGAUUGUGGAACGCUGUCAGCCACACCUAGCAUCACUGAGGUAUAAUGGGAAGAUUCGAUUAUGCUGAGCCGCGGGGCACCUGGCCCGUCACGUCAUCGGGCGAAAGCUGAGGGGGAGGCGCACCAUUCUCAAAUCGAACAGACACCUGGCUCAUGCCCGGGAGCCAGCCCGCUUCCAAAUCGAAUUGAUUCAAUUUUCAGCGGAUACAAAAUAUGCCUACACUGGCGACCAGGCGGGAUGAAUUGAAACCCACCAAGAACGCUCUCCACACCUACCAAACCGGAGCAAACGUACCUCAAAGUCUGUUCAACGUUUUUAGGACACUUGUCGUUCAGUAGAAACCGUUCGGCCACGUAGCAAACGUUCAAGUGAACUGAACGCACCUCCAGUGACUCCCCAAMCAGAAGGACAAAUGGUUGAAGAUGUUAACAUACUGGGAAACACAAAGCUUUAUCAGUAAUCAUCACUUAUUGUAACYAUAUUAAAUAUCCAGGCUCAGCGAUGACUUGCAUCUUACAAUGAGUAUGAUGAACACUUUGCCUUCCCGGCACUAGGACUGCCAACUAAAAAAWAUAUAUACAUUUCUGUUGGGUCAGGUAAUAUUAGAGAAUGAUGUGAGGGGGGCUGAUGGGUGGAAGAUUUGUGUUGAUUGUGGAAGCAUAUUCAUUCUGCAGUACUUCUAAACACUAGUAAACAAGCAGCAGAUCAUUUGAAAAGACAGUGGAUAUAAUGGCUAAAAUGACAAAUCUAGGCAUGUAUCUCUUCAAACAGGGAUGUAAAGGCCAACUUGAGCAAUGUCUGGGCAAAAAUAUUCUUACAUAUGUGAUGAAUAAAACGUGUAGAAUGGGUGAUGGUGUUCAUUUUCUGAAUUCCAUUUUSUCCUUAACUUUUACACUGUUGAUCGAGACGUCAAAAACCUGACCAGUGGUCUAACCGAGUGCAUCUCUGUAUUACCAGUCAUGUGAAAUCCAUAGAUUAGGGCCUAAUGAAUUUAUUUCAAUUUCCUUAUAUGAACUGUAGCUUAGUAAAAAUCUUUAAAAUUGUUGCAUUUAUAUAGUUUUGUUCAGUAUAAAAUACAUGCACAGGAUAGCAUAUAAACAAUUCACACAUUCUACAGCCACUCUGAUGCUCAUGGGCUAAAUAAAAAUGUUCAUCAGCAGGGGAGCCGGUAGAGCCAGUUCCUCUGGGAACGACACUCCACAUGAUUGAGACCACAGUGGAUGAGGAGGUAGCAAUGGUUUUCAGCAGUUAAAAUUUAAUACCCCCCUUUCUCUACAGAAACCCAGGUAAAAAUUAAAAUACAACAGCAGCAAUUACAGUAAAAAAUAAAAAGCCUAAAUAUAUAUAUAUA